RNAcentral lists this ribosomal RNA (463 nucleotides) under uncultured Desulfobulbus sp. Its description in RNAcentral is "bacterial SSU rRNA". It matches the Rfam family "Bacterial small subunit ribosomal RNA", at positions 925 to 1382 of the family's 1533-position model. Lineage: Bacteria; Pseudomonadati; Thermodesulfobacteriota; Desulfobulbia; Desulfobulbales; Desulfobulbaceae. The record is from RNAcentral.
ACAAGCGGUGGAGUAUGUGGUUUAAUUCGAUGCAACGCGAAGAACCUUACCUGGUCUUGACAUCCCAGAAAUCCCUUGGAAACUUGGGAGUGCUUCCAUUAGGAAGAAUCUGGAGACAGGUGCUGCAUGGCUGUCGUCAGCUCGUGUCGUGAGAUGUUGGGUUAAGUCCCGCAACGAGCGCAACCCUUGCCUUUAGUUGCCAGCAGUUCGGCUGGGCACUCUAAAGGGACUGCCGGUGUUAAACCGGAGGAAGGUGGGGAUGACGUCAAGUCCUCAUGGCCUUUAUGACCAGGGCUACACACGUACUACAAUGGCCGAUACAAAGGGCAGCGACAUUGCGAAAUGAAGCCAAUCCCAUAAAUUCGGUCUCAGUCCGGAUUGGAGUCUGCAACUCGACUCCAUGAAGUUGGAAUCGCUAGUAAUCGUGGAUCAGCAUGCCACGGUGAAUACGUUCCCGGGCCUU